UGCACAUCACACUGAUGCUGGGGGGGAGAGAGGAGGAGGACAGACAGAGGGGAGCCAUUGAGGAGGACAGCAGAGAUUCUGGAAGUUUCUCUCCGGAAGAGAAUAGAGAUGCUCUUAGCAGUGGACUGUCAAUUGAAGAGGGGGAACUGGAGGAGGAGAGGAUGGAAUGGGAGAAGAGGGAAGAGAGGCGCAGUCUGGAGACAGACGGGACAGCAGCUCCACAGGAUCCCUGAGCCCCAGAGAGGACAACGUGUCUUCUCAUUCUCCUCCUCUUCCUCCUCCUCCUCCUCAUCCUUUCCUCCAAUAGCCCUAGCCCCACCCCUCUGCGACCUCUAGAGGUGAUAGCAUCCACUUGGGUGAGAGGUCAUAUGUCAGGGGUCAGCAGCAGCAGUGGUAGCUUCAAGGCUCUGCUCCUGAGGAAGGGAAGUCGCUGCGACUCUGGAGCUCGCAUGUCUGCAGCUGAGAGACUCCGCAGUACCGCCCCAAAACACCAGAGUCCGCCACCACAUAGCCAGAGCCAAUCAGACACACACCUGCAGUUGGGAGUGAAGUCACACACCCACACACCUCAUCCCUCUCCACACACGCACACAGUCCAAGUCCAGCUCCCAUCUCUAGAAGUACCCCAGACUCAGUACAGACAGAGACACAGGAGGAAGGAAGAGUGGGCAAUCACUGAGCGCCUGUUCCCUCUCCCCUUCUCAUCCUCCCCAUCCUCCCCCUCUCUCUGGGCGUGGCGACCCCCCCCCCCCCCCCCCCGCUCCCCCACUCCCCCUUGCUCAGCCAGCCGACGUUUUGCUGCCUGCACCCGACUACCGAGCAGCUCAAUGACUGCCAUCCAGGAACAAGAGGGGGAGGGGGACGGCGAAUCACUGGAGAGUGAGGGAUUGUCCGAGACCAUCAAAUUGGACCACGAUUCACACAAGACUUUUGGAUUGGUCAAGCUUUCUGACGGAUAGACUGAGGCUACCGAUGGCAGCCUUGAUUGGCAGGAGAGCAGGACUAUGGAGAGACACGAGGCCCUGUUCUCCCUCCCCAUUUCUCUCUCCCUGAGAGGACAACGGAUAGAGCACCAGACAGGGGACUCACUGUCCUGCUCAUACCCAGGACAGAGGCUCCCGUCUGGGGCCAAGGGACUUUAUGUGUAUCCUGCACAUGGGGGAAACUGAUUGGAGUCAACUGAAACAUACUGUUCUCCAGACUGGCUUUUGUUAUAGGAUGCUUGUCUCUGUUAAUAGAUUACAGGACAGUGUAAAUGUUGUUUUCUGAUGUGUUGCUUCAGUCCUCUGUCUAGUUUUAGUAUGUAGCGCUAUACAGUUUGAUAUUCAUGUUAAACUGUAUAUUUAAAAUGUAUUCUGUGGUUUCAGUUACCAAAGACAACGUGUCACUCCCAGUGAAUCGGCAGCAGGGGGACAUGUCUGAGAAUGUAUCCUUGAUUGUGAUUGGCCUAUUGUUAUCAUGAUUGUGAUUGGCCUAUUGUUAUCAUGAUUGUGAUUGGUCUAUUGUUAUCAUGAUUAUGAUUGGCCUAUUGUUAUCAUGAUUAUGAUUGGCCUAUUGUUAUCAUGAUUGUGAUUGGCCUAUUGUUAUCAUGAUUGUGAUUGGCCUAUUGUUAUCAUGAUUGUGAUUGGCCUAUUGUUAUCACGAUUAUGAUUGGCCUAUUGUUAUCAUGAUUGUGAUUGGCCUAUUGUUAUCAUGAUUGUGAUUGGCCUAUUGUUAUCAUGAUUGUGAUUGGCCU
RNA transcript from Oncorhynchus gorbuscha (pink salmon), 1735 nucleotides. It is a transcript of the gene named NHS-like protein 1, with no coding region annotated. The record is from RefSeq and is a predicted model, not a curated record. Lineage: Eukaryota; Metazoa; Chordata; Actinopteri; Salmoniformes; Salmonidae. The transcript has 2 exons.